This 439-nucleotide ribosomal RNA is filed under the name uncultured bacterium. RNAcentral describes it as "bacterial SSU rRNA". It matches the Rfam family "Bacterial small subunit ribosomal RNA", at positions 29 to 515 of the family's 1533-position model. The record is from RNAcentral.
AACGAACGCUGGCGGCAGGCCUAACACAUGCAAGUCGAGCGCACCUUCGGGUGAGCGGCGGACGGGUUAGUAACGCGUGGGAACGUGCCCUUCUCUACGGAAUAGCCUCUGGAAACGGAGAGUAAUACCGUAUACGAACAAUGGGGGAAAGAUUUAUCGGAGAAGGAUCGGCCCGCGUUGGAUUAGGUAGUUGGUGGGGUAACGGCCUACCAAGCCUACGAUCCAUAGCUGGUUUGAGAGGAUGAUCAGCAACACUGGGACUGAGACACGGCCCAGACUCCUACGGGAGGCAGCAGUGGGGAAUCUUAGACAAUGGGCGCAAGCCUGAUCUAGCCAUGCCGCGUGAGUGACGAAGGCCUUAGGGUCGUAAAGCUCUUUCGCCAGGGAUGAUAAUGACAGUACCUGGUAAAGAAACCCCGGCUAACUCCGUGCCAGCAAG